Poecilia latipinna (sailfin molly) is the source of this 4789-nucleotide long non-coding RNA. RefSeq lists it as uncharacterized. The record is from RefSeq and is a predicted model, not a curated record. NCBI's taxonomy places the organism in Eukaryota, Metazoa, Chordata, Actinopteri, Cyprinodontiformes, Poeciliidae. The transcript has 2 exons.
UUAUUUUUUUGAGCAGUAUAUAUUUUGUCACCAUUUUCCUCUCUUUGGAAUCAAGACCUGUCAUACAUCAUUAGAAAUAAAAAAUGAAUGGAGUGAACAUUAAUUCUUUCGCUCCUGCUUCAAGAGAGCCUUGAGAUGUGGGUUUGUGAAAUCACCAGGGACAAUCAGCAUCUCUAGGAUCCUCACACUGGAUAUGCUCAGGAGUGGAGGUGAGUGUGUCAUUUUAUCAUGUUUAUUUAUAGAGGCGUGUGGAGAUGCAGUUGAGGUCUUGUUGGCCCAGUUUGGAGAGCAGCUGCUCUCCAAGUGUGUGCAGACAUUCAGACUGACUCUGCACCACCUAGGAGUUACAUCACCUUGCCAAAAAAGCAGAUACCAUUAAAAAAAAAAAAACUGAUGCACUUCGCAGCAGUGCAUCAAUAUAGAAAGCUAUAAUGUGCGCUGCAAAACUGUCUUUCGUCUGUUCGACAUGUAAACUGUCAUAACGGACAGUAAAUACUGCUGUUUACCCUGGCAAGGAACGGUAAUCUGAGCAUCUGACGCUCCUCAUAGCGCAUUCGAGCAUCUUCAUCUUCUUCUAUUUACACUUCUCUCUCUUUAUCCUCCGUCUUGCUUUAAUGCCAGCAUCCUCUCCUCUCUCCGAGCAAGCUGCUGCUCCUCGCUGGUGAUUUUGCAGAGCCGAAGGGGGGGCGGAGUACCAAAGGAAGGCUAUGACUCGCUGAGGAUGCAGCGAGUAGCUGACAUCACAACAUCCUUAUUUGGGUGGCAAGACGUUAAAGCCGAACGCUCCGAUGCAUUGCGAGUGCGCAUGAAUUCUCUGUGUGAACUUCGUGAUUCUAUCGGUUAUCGUUUUAAUAUUUACGCGAGUAAAUAAAUAAAUAAAUAAAAAAUAAUGAAUAAAGAAGUACAAGCACCCUGUGCAUAAAUUGCAAAUCGAGAUGUAAACAAGCACAACAUAUGAGUGAGGAUGCGGGGGAGGGGAGAGCAUGCACACCAGAGUGAGGACCAGAGAAUGGAUGUAGGAGGAUGGAGAGAGAGAGAGAGAGAGGAGAGGUGGGGGGGGAGAAAAAAAAGGAAAAGAGAAACAAGGAAACAGCAUCUUGACCACCAACAACAGUGGAAACGCAGCACUCCCCUGGGAGCCCUAGAUGAAAAGGCUUCAGGAUUUCAGCAUGCCCGUGCAGAAGCUCGACAGAUCCCAAACCAAACAGGCCUCCCACGUACAACAAGGCUCCCCGUCUCCUCCCAAAACACAUAUUCCGCCGAGCUCUCGCUUUGCGCCUACUGACUGCCGAGCACAGAGAAACGGCGGCGUGCGAAACACAAGGCUCGCCGUGAGCUCGACAGCACGGCGGCCAACUUCAAGAAGUAAACAAAUACGCUAGUAGAUUAGUGAGGUCACGUUCAUGCGCCGCUGUGCCUCGCAACGCUGCAACGGGGCAACAGCGGAGACAGAACUUCCCUUCUCUCCACUUAACCCUCUUGAAAUGAAGAGCGGUUUGCAUUGUUGCACGCUCUCGCCUUGAAGCCUUCAGCAGUUUUACUUCCUGCUGAUCUGCCACAUCUCCUCUGCCCGACUGCUGCGCACAUUACUUGACAGAAAUCACUAAUAGGUGGAGAAAAGAGCACCAAGCUGAUUCAUAGUUGGAGCGAAACUGUUGCUUUCAGGGGAUGUUUGGGACUGCCCCCGACACCUGUGAGGCGGCUGGGAAUUCGGUUUGAGGUACGCUUCUCUGUAUCGUUUUGAUGCCGCUUUUACAUGCCGAGAGGCAGGCUGGACUUUUAUAGCCUUUUGAGAAAUCAAACUGAUGCAGAUAAAGUCCGUAUGCAGAUCUGAACUUGUUAGGCAUUGCCAUCCCACACACACGCAGCACCCUUUAGCAGAAAUUCAGAAGCCGGUCCAUGCAACGUGCAAACUUUAUGCAGUCUCUUUAGAGAACACCAGCGACAAUCGUCUGCCUUACUGUGCAGUUGAUAAAACCACCACAGCACGGAUUUGUGAUCGGAAGCACAAACCACAUCUUAUGCAGCCAACAAACACAGCUGUGACAGUUUCACAACAGGUUGUCACCUGUUAGUUUAGUUUUUUAUUAACUGUUUGGUGCAGAAUUGGUUUAAAUCCAAAAAAAGGCAUCCUUUGCCAGCGAAUGACAAAAUGAUGGAGAAUUACAACAGUUGAACUGCGAAUUAUAUCACAUUGAGAGAUGCAUUUUGUUCUAUAACAGACAGAAAGCUGCAGCUGCAUCUGGGAAGCUGCAGUGUUUGUGUCAAAAAUGAGGACUCGGGUCUUUGACGUUGAACCCUGAAGCCACAAAAUCCGCAAUUUCAGAUUUUACUUCGACUCGAAACCUGGAACCAAAGUCUCAAGCAUGAUCCAUGUCUGGUGCAAUCGGGGUUGAAAGUAAACCAGUGAGAGUAAAUCAUUUGAGUAAAUUAUUCAUUUUUGUCCCCUUUGAGUUACUGCAGUGUAUGCAAAUGACUUUUCGUCACAGUAAUGUUAUGCAAAGUAAGAAUGAUUUAAACCUUCUCAACAGUGCAUGUCAGUAAAUUGAGUUAAAGAAGACAUGAAGUGCUGAUAUUUAUCGGCACCAUGGAGCAAGUGUUACAGGAAGUCAGCCACCAGUCUGUUGAACUAUGUGCUUAAUUUAUUUGUCAGGGGGAAUUUGUGUAUUUUGAGAAGCGAAUACUUCAGACCAAUUUGUUUUUGUUUGCUGUAUCAUAAAAAAAACAGCCUCAUUGAUGCGUCUCUAGCUGAGAUUUAUGUUAUUGACUUUUGGUCGUGUUCAGAACAAAAUAAAUGUAAAUUGAACUCACUUGGUAAAGUUCUGUAAAUAUUAAGACUCUUCCAGCUCUUCAAAAUAAAAUUGCUUCCUUUUUGAUUCAUUCAUACAAGGUUAUAACUCUUUAAAGUCUUGGUUUACCUUGAUGCUGCUAAAUAGAACCAAUGUCUUAAACUUUACUCAUAUGUAAAUACUUCUGUCGCAUAAUCUCGAGACUGUUACUGUAUCUGUUGAUGCUGAGUGACACGGCAAAAGAAAGAUCUGCAACUGUGGGUUAUUUUUCAGAAAAUGUUAGGGUUUCUUUUAUAGUAUGCACAUUUCAGUUGUCAGUUUUCCACUCUUCCACAGACCAAAAGAAAAAAAAGAAGAACAUGCUUGUUCUUAAAAAGAAAUUUGUAUCAGCGAGACAACCCCAGAAUUUGUCCACAAAAAUCUCUGACUGGUGCAGUGUCCAAUUAUAACAAAUUCCUGGAAGUUUCCCCUCGAGGAAGCAGGGUAAAAUCACCAUUAGUCAUCUUGUUCUAUACGGUAAAUGGGUGAUUAUCUCAUUGUUUUUGUAUGUCUUUUUGAUGACACAUCUAGCAGGAAAAAUGCCACAGAAGCGACUCACACCGGGACGAGUGCCCCAUCAGACCCAAGCAAAAGCACACCCCGCGGUGGGACACCUCAUCUCCUCAUGCGUGAACCGUAGGACGAGGAGGACAGUUGGUGGACAAAGACAAAUGGACUGACAGGCGGCGUGUUGAACUGUUUCCCAACACAGCAACGUUCACAAAGGCUGGCAGACGCAGACGGUGCGUAUCCACUCCUCCUAAACCAAGCGGGCAGCAUAAACUCGAGUUUUAAUCAAAAUAAAGACAAAGACGACACGCCCACUCCUGAUUGCAAUCAGAGACGGGGACAAAGUCCGAGGGACACCCCUACCCCAACCGCCGGCAACACAAAGGGAGGGAAAGACGACACAAUUGCCGCCUUUCUCCCAGUCAGGCAACUCCAAAAGCAGAGGUGAAAGCCCCUUGCCCGCCUGCUGUAGCAGAAUAAAGCCGUGGAUGGGAGGGCCUGGGACUAAUUCCCCCACCCAGCGUUGUCCCGUCGGGAUGGGGAGGCUGGGGGUCGCCCAGCACCCUUUGAUAUCCCUGCCUGCACUCUUUCAGCCGACGCACUUUGUGAGAACUGGAAUGAAAGCAGACACAAGGCUUCCUGCUCCAAUCCACACGCCGUCUUGGGAAUGGGUAAUCGGGUGUGGGGGUCUUCCAUUUAAAUAGGCCAAACACCUGCCGGACCGAAGCCCCUUCCGCUCAACCACACCAUUUCUCUCGAACCGCUGAGGCAAAGAGAUAUUUAGGUGGAUACAUCCAUUCAACAGCCUUUCUGUAUGAAUCAUUAAACUUUAAUAAUAACAACGUGCGAGGAGAAAAGACGCAGCAGAAGGUGAGAUAACAAAGGACCCGGACAAAGAAGAACCGAGACGAACUUUGCUUGGAGACACGGAAAAAACUGGGGAUGAUCUCAUCUACAACAACAGAUGAGAUCGCAAAAAAACAAAGAAGAACUAUUUACAAUUUGCUCACUUUAAUGCCAUAAAAUCCCUCCAUGCACAGGAGGGCAAAUAAAUGCCGUCAUUUGGACAGCAGCAACUAAAGGGCACCCUUUAGAGACACUUAAAUAGGCUUAGUAAUCCAUUCCCAAGUGGCAGCUGUCAGAAGAAAAGUUGCUCUGCCUCUCAGACGGGGAUGUGUGUGUCUGAAGUGGAUUUGGAUUUUUUUUUUUUUCUGCCUGGAAGGAGGCGGGCGGGCUGACCGAGUGUCCGGCUGGCGCUCUGUUCGGGGUUGCCCCAUGAGCUCAGUGUCUUGCAGUGAGCCUGGACAACCCUGCCUCGGUCUGGCCAGACAAGCGCUUCACACUGCUUCUUUUUACUACUGAUGAAGUCACCAUGCUACGUUACCCAAACUUGAUGAGGAUUUAAUAGACUAAUCUGUGCCCACACAUUAAAAUUGUGUUAAAUGCGAGAG